Pelobates cultripes (western spadefoot toad) is the source of this 12482-nucleotide non-coding RNA. Lineage: Eukaryota; Metazoa; Chordata; Amphibia; Anura; Pelobatidae. The record is from the annotation of a GenBank genome assembly.
UGGGUACUUUACCUAACACUCCUCAUACAGUAUAAAAGAACAAUACAUGCCCAUUCCUGGCACUAAGCUCUGGGUAUCCCACAGAGGUUAUGUGCACAGAACGAAUCCUGGUGCUGACCUUCCUCUGUGUGUGGGGCAGCGAGGUGACAGCUAUAGAUGGUUCUGAUGGGUACAAGACUCCGGCUUUCUGUAAAGGGCAUAAGUGCCCCAGAUAUCGAGUGGUGGAGAAACAUGAAGUAAGUGGGUUCUCAUCAUUUUAACACAUGGGUUUUCUGUUUGGUUUAACCUGUGGGUAUUAUAGGAGUAUUUUUGUUUUUACCUUUAUCAGGAUAGUAUAUGUCAUUUUGCUUGAAACCUUACUAGACUGAUAUGCCUGUUUCUAGCCAAAUUUACUUUCUAGCUUUAAUUAGCAGAUGGGAAUCCCAAUUCUGACAAUUAUUAAAUUCUGCUAUUUAUGACUGGAUUCAAACUAUUUCAGCUCUGCUUGAGACACUGGAAAACCAUUGUUCUAGAAAAAGUAAAGGAAAAAUCAUGUGUUUAUUACUAAAGCAAUGUGGUUUCCUUCUGUGUAGGGGCAGUGUGUCGGAGGGUGACAGUGUGUAGGGCAUUGUGUGGGGGUGACAGCAUGUGUGGGGAGGAUGACAGUGUGUACAGAAGGUGACAAUGUGUGGACCAGUGUGUUGGAAGGUGAUAGUGCAGGGGCCAGUGUGGGGAGAGUAACAGUGUGGGGCAUUGCGUAGGAGGGUGGCAGAGUGAACAGCAUUGCGUGGGAGGGUGGCAGAGUGAACGGCAUUGUGUGGGUGGGUGACAGUGUGUUUAGGGGGCAGUGAAUGGGAAGGUGGCUGUGGGGAGGGGGAGUUAUAUGCGGGCGCAGGAAACUUCACUCAAAUAAUAUUUCUCUCCAUGCAACAAAAGGAGAUCUCUUUCUGUGAUCCCUCAACAUUCAAAGCUAGGGUAAUUCAGUGUGUAUCACGUUGCACUUGGGCGCGACCUCCUCUAUCCCAGCCUCCUAUGCAAUGCCCAUAGUCUCUGCCUUUAACUGCUCUACACACCAAUAAGGAGGCAAGUGCUAUAAAGCACAAGCAGCAAGCCAAGAGUGACAGCGCUCAGAUGACAAUUAAACUCAAGGCAUGCCAAUAAUGGGGACAGUGUGCAACAGCCCAGGAUCAGCCCUGGCUGGACAGGGGAUACAAAGCAGUCCUGGAAAAAAAAUACAUACAUAUAUAUAUAUAAAGUAUUUACUAUCUUCUUAUUGUCCUGAUGAAUGGCCCUAUAGUGUUGGUCUCUUUUUUCUUUUGUAUUGGACGACCCAGAAUGCUGGUAUUGAUUGAAAAGUGUGUAUGUAUAUAUAUUAUAUAUUAUAAUUCAAAAUAUUGGGUCGUUUAUGUUAAAAAGUUUAAUUAUACAGUAAGCAUACUCACAUGCAGACACAGACAAUCUGACUGACUGACUCAUUGAUACAGCUGAUUGAUACACUGGCUCACAGACAGACAAUCUCAUUGAUACACAUGCUCACUGCAGACAAGCUCUCUGACACACACACACACACAUGCUCACAAGCUCACUCACUAGCAGACACACACACACACACACACACACACUCACUGUCAUGGGCUGAAGCCUACCUGUCACAGAAGGCUGGGCGAGACAAGGAGGUGAUGUCUCAAUUUUCUGACCUCUUCCUUCCAGGCCAGCAGCGUGUGUGGGGACAGAGCUUGACCACGGAGACGUGACUUGAAUUUAUGAGGCGGGACUUGAAUCCAUGAGAUGGGGCUUGAGUCCAGGGACUCAAUAUAGAGGCACCAAUUGCUGAAGAUUCAGGAGGGAAACUCUGAACUCCCUCCAGCCCCUGGAAGCCUAAAUGGGCUGCACCAGCACCUCCCUCCAGCCCCAUCCCUUCUCUCCCUUAUUUCCCUAGGACUAACAGUUUAAGGGAAAAUUAUUUAAAUUACACAUCAGGGCUUCCUGCCAGCCCCAGAUGCUGCGGCCCACCAGGAAAUUCCCCAGUAUCCCGGUGGGCCAGUUGGGCCCUGGCCCUGUGGAAGUAAUUUCUGCCAUUAUAGAAAUGUUUUUACAGGCCACCAGCAGGUAGACGUACCAUGGAUAGGGAACUAUUGUUUCAUAGUUACAUAGCUAAGUAGGCAGAAAAGAGACACGUGUCCAUCAAGUUCAGCAUUUCUCAUAUCUGUUUUUGCAAACACAAUUUAAAACACUUCCAAUGUUGCUUCAAACUAGAAAAAAAUAAUUCAUCAAAUUUAUCCUUGAAGCUAUUACUCAACAAAUUUAAUAAUAAGUGCUAUUUGACUGCUGGUAGAGAUAGCAGUCAGGGGGCAAAUCAUUAAAAUCCCUUGACAGUUAUGUAGCAGCUGGCUAGCACUUUAUAGAAAAGAAAAAUGCAUAUUGGGGUAAUAUGACACUCUUCUUACUAUAGGGAAGUGUAAUACCUCUUUUAUCCCCUCACCUGCCAUGCUACAGGCAGGAACAGCCUGCUUCUUUCUAAAAGGGUUACUCCAACUACCUCAGUGAUUUGAAGUGGUCAUGGUGGUAGGAAUCUGUAUGUGCAAUGCUUCUGCUUCAAACACUGCACAUACAGAAAAAUCUGCACUUGUGUGCCACGGGCUUGUUACACACUUGGCACACAUGACUUUGGCCACCCGGAACUCUGGUCAGAAUAAUAUAAAUUCUGUUCAUAAAAUAUGCACAUCGUCAGCUCACACUGCACACUAGCAAUAGACAUAUUGAGCUCUUCCCAAUCUCCCUCUCUACCUCCCUCUCAAAAUGGUUGUAGCCCUUUAAGCUAGUGAUUUAAGCAAGUUAAUUAAAGGAGCACUAUAGUGCCAGGAAAACAAACUUGUUUCCUGACACUAUAGGAUCAUUAGGUCCCCCCACCCUCAGAGCCCCCUCCAGCUGAGCUGAAGGGGUUAAAUAAUGACAGGAGUACAUUAUAAUGCUCGCUCACUGCUUUUUUAGGGUGUUUACAGAGGCAUGCAUGUCCACCUCCCUAGAUUUUUUUAAAAGGCUCCACCAGCAGCCAACUGACAUGUGCCCCCAUUGCAUAUUAGUUGCCCCCAAUACAGACAAAGAUAUGUCUUACCAUGUAUUACUUUAGAGCCCUUAUUGCUCAUUGGUGUGGGAAUGAGGGGGGAACAGUGACAGGUCCCCUUCAGAUAAUUUACUGACCCCAUCCACAUGGGAUGGGACUGAGUAGUAAUUGUUUUAGUCUGGUCUGAUAUGCAAAUGAAAUUCAGACUCAAUCAGAGCCGGUUACACAAAAUAUGGACAUUGUUAAAUACAAAUACAAGAGUUGUUAACAGCAAUAUUGUAUCUUUAUAGUUAUUGUAAAUAUACUUUACUGUAGUAACUAUGAUCUAUGUUGGUUGAUGAAUUUUAAUGUGCUGCUUACUAAUGUGGAAAGCUGAUAAUAUCUCUUCUCAUAUAAUGAAGAAAGUGAGCAGGAUAUACUGACUGAAAGAAUCACAUUAGUUAGGAUUGUCUAUGAUGGUGGUCACUGAUCUUACUAUAGUAAUAAUUACCUGUAUAACCCUGUCUGGUUUUCAGAAAUUCGAGGUACGAGAGUAUGAGCCAACAAACUGGGCCUCAACCAUUGUAGACUUGUCAGGUGACGUAAUAAAUCAAAGUGAUCGCCUCUACAACUACAUCAGUGGAGCAAAUGAAAAAGGUUUGUCAUUUACUGUGUUUUAUACUGAAUAUUAUUUGUUAACCACCUAUAAUAUAACUCUUACCUGAAAAGGACUUUAAGUAGGUCUUGUCAAUUUUCUUACAUAUCAGCAUUAUAUAUUUUUAUUUUAACUUCCAAGUUUUAUUCAUAAAGAAAUAGGAUACCUAAAAAUAAUUAGGGGAGGGUUGAAGAUUGAAAUACAGACAGAGUUUCAGGACACAGGCAAGCAACAAAAUACAGAGGAAACUUCAGAAAUGGUAUACAUUUUACAACCAGAGUGUCAGGGAACGUGGGGUUCAAUUCUUUACAGAUCGACCUAAGGUCUGAAAUGUUAAAUGUUAAAGCAAAAUAGUGUCAGGAGUAACAGCACGGUGAAUACACACUAUGGGUUUAGCCUGAAUAAGAACUUUCAAGUAGAAAGUCACUUAAUUACCAUGCACUUAUAUUAAUUUAUCAAUCUCUGGUUUGUUCUGUAACCUCUCCGCAGCGCUAGGGAGCCGGAAUGAAUGAGACACGCACAUGUUGUAGGUUCAAAGAGACUGUCAAAUGCAUUAUGUUUCACAGGUCAAUAUAUGGAAUGCGCACAAAACAUGAUUAUUAUUUUUAUUAUUACUAAUAUAGAGCCAACAAAUUCCACAGUGCUGUACAUGCCCCUUAUCGAGUCAUCCUGUAGUGUACUAAGACAUAUGUGUAGCUUAGAGGAAAUGAAGAGGGGAGAAAGAAUACUAACAGAUGGGCAUUGCCAUACAUGGUAAAGCCUUGCUAUUGAUAGAGACAGGAAAUUGAGGAUGUACAGCCAAUGCCCUCUAUACAUUGAACAAAACUUUACUUGCAAGUCCCGGGGCUUAUCCACUAAAUGUCGCUAAGCACAAAACUGAAAAAAGUCAGAAACCUUAAAUGGGUGAUCACGGUUUAAAUGGACGAGUGGAAGAGCAUCAACAACAAAGUGCCUGAAAUAUUUAGUUAGAUCUCCUCAUUCAUGCAUUACCCAACAGAAUAUUAUACAACGUGUCCCAGAAGUAGACUGCUGCUUUCUAUUUGUUUCUAAUUGCUUACUGCCAUCUAUCCGUACUGAAAAAAUUAUAACAAAUGUGGUAACCAUGGCAUGUAUCAGAUGGUCAUGUCUGUAUAAGGGUAUAACCUGGAAAAAACAGUUUGGAUCAACUACUUCCUGAAACCUUCAUAAGAAUAUCUGUAAAUAUAAGAAGUAUGUAUUAUCAGGAAUGCCAUAUAGUGACUGUUGCUGAGGAAAUGUGAGCAACAUAUGUUGAUUAAACCAAUGUCUCGCAUCACAAAUGGAGGUUGUGUUCCAGUGUUUCGGAUUAAAGGUUGUAAUUUGAUAUGUGAUGUGCAGAAAUCAAGCAGGUGGUCAUAGAAAAAGGACUAGAGCAUUAAAGUGAUCUGCAGGGUGUGACUGCAAUGCCAAUGAAGAUGGCAGCAUAGGUUUGAGCUUCUGCACAACCUUGUGCUACGUUCAAUAAUUUCCCCUGCUUCACCAAUGACAUGGAGAAGACACAUAAACCUACUGGCUCCUUGAAGAGCCAAGGCCCCAAAAAGGGUCUGCUUACUCCAUUCUUGAGAGGUUUCCUCACCUCCAUGCCGGACCCUGCCUCCCAGCUCUCCAAUAUCGGACCACGACCCGGUCCAACCACCUGCCUUGUCGACCAUAGAGGACCUGCAAAAGGCAAAUUACACACUACAGGCCUCGAUCCUGGUGGAUCUGCAUCUUCUAAAUGAGGACUUACAGGGCCUCACUGAUCCUGUUGGCCAGCUGGAGGGGGACAGUGACAAGUGACAACCUGUUGGUAGCUCAGAUGAAUACCCUGACAUAUCAAAAGGAAUAAAUGCAAGUCAUGGCCCUACAUCUGGCUGUUCUGGACAAUAGGGGUUGUCUUUGUAACUUAUGGCUGCAAAGCCUCCUCGAGUUGGAGAACUCCACACCACACCUAAGGGAAUUUGUCCUAGAGGUAUUUAUUGUCCUUCUCAACCACUUCUCUGUGUAUGUGUAACAGUGUGUCUGUGCAUUUAUAUUUGUGUCAGCGUGUAUGUAUUCAUGUGUCUGUGUACCUGUCUGUCUGUGUAUGUGUACCUGUUUGUCAGUGUAUAUGUGCACUUGUCUGUCAGUGUGUAUGUGUACCUCUGUGUAUUUGUGUCAGCGUGUAUGUAUACCUGUGUCUGUGUACUUGUGUGUCUGUGUAUGUGUACCUGUUUUUCAGUGUGUAAGUGUUUAUGUGUAUCUGUGUGUAUGUGUACCUGUUUGUGUAUGUGCACCUAUGUGUGUCUGUAUUUGUGAGUCAGUGUGUAUGUAUACCUGUGUCUGUGUACCCUGUCAUCAGGGUGGUCCCAUCAUUUAGGGUGAAGCCUCCGUGUUCGGAAGUCCCAGAGUGCCCAGUGUCUUUGUUGAUUGCCAUUGCUGAGUGUGCUGAGUUGCCUAUUGUGAACCUUGGGCUGAGACCCCCGAGUCCAGCCCAGAUUUCCGUCCCCGCCACUCAUCUAUCACCCCAUCCCGCCUUCCAUCCCGCCUUCCUCGUUGUCCCCGGUGGUGAACCUCCGUACCAGAGGUUUUGCGUCAUGUUUAAUUUGUCAUGUAACAAGUAGCUUCCCGUGUUGUUACGUCUUCCCCCGCCUCUCCCCUUUGGUCAUGUGCGCAUGGGGUGUGGGUAUGUUCCGUGUGUGUUUGAGUUUUAAUGUAGGUGUCCCACAUGAUUCCCGCUCCCUGUAUAUGUUUUUUGGGGUUAAUAUGCUUAUGGGCCAUUGACUCAUACUCCAGGUUCAGGGUUAUCUGCGCUGUAAGGGCAGUACAACCCGGUAUUUCUGAAGAUUUCCAUGCUCUGGCUAUCAGCAAAUUUGCAGCAAUGAGGACGUGGAAAAGUAGGGUAGAGGCCAGUUUUGAAAUGUUUUCCAGUGGCAUGAAUAGGAGGCAUAAAUCAGGUGUGAGUGUGAUGCCUGUCCCCAAUGCAUCUGAUAAUACGUCUCCCACCAUACGCCAAUAUCCCUCGAUCUUGGGACAAGUCCACCAAAUGUGGUACAUCUUCCCCUUUUUCCUGUAAACACCUCCAGCAGGAGCUGGUAGUGUUCGGGUAGAUUCGCGCUCGUCUGUCCGGUACCAUAUACCAGCAAUACUGGAUUUUUCUCAUCAGUUCUAGGUGUGACGCACAACUUGUCUUUCCCUUGUGAGCUAACAUUGCUUUUUUCCAGCCUGUAAUGUCAAAUGUUUGGUUUAAGUCGCUGUGCCAGUUGCGCAUAAAUUUUUCGUAGCUGCGUGCUGCCGGGAUUGUCAGUACUCGGUAUAUAGAGGCUAGUAAUUUGUUUGGCGUGAUAGGGGCUAGGAAUGCUUUUUCAAAAAAGGCCAUGGUCGGCGAGUGUGAAAAUGGGCGGUUGUGUGUGAGGAGCACUUUUAGUUGGAGGUAUGAGAGCAACGCCCUCGUCGGUAGUUUGAAUUUAUGUUGGAGGUCUGGGAAUGGCAGUAUUCCAUUGUCUCCAAACAGUUGGCCUAUGGAGGCGCAGCCUCCUUUCUGCCAUGGCCUGUAGUCAAAGGAUGGGUUAACAGCAUGCACGCAAGAUAUGGGGGCAGCCUGGAGUUACAUAUGUUUCUCGCCCAUGUUUUGUUUUAGUCUGUCCCAUGUAUGGAGGAGCAGGUCAGUGGUACGCAACAUUUUUGGCAUGUUCGGGCGUUUAUGUUUAGGUAUCCAGAAGAGAAGGUGCAUGCCCUUGGGGCAAGACCAAUGCGACUCAAUUUCAAUCCAUUGCAGGGGGAGGGUCGCUGCAUGGGAGGCUAUAACUGAAGCUAGCAGUACAGCCCUGUAAUACUCUUUAAUUUUUAGCAGUCCAAGUCCGCCAUGGUCUAGGGGUUUAUACAGAAGUUUCGAGGAGACGCGGAUCUUACGGUUUUCCCAUAUAAAUUGGGUUAAUAUGGCCUGAAGUUUUUCUAAAUAGGUUUUGGGGAUAGAUAUUUGUAGCGUUCUGAGCAGGUAUUGAAGUUUAGGGAGGAUGGACAUUUUUACUGCAGCUAUCCUGCCAAGCCAGUUUAGGAAUAUAGAUUCCCAUCCCAUUAGUGUUUCGGUUAUGUCCCUUAAAAGUUUCUCAUGGUUGUAUUUCAGUAGGUCGGUCAGGUUUUUUUGUGAGGUUAAGUCCUAAGAAGGUAAUGUAAUCAGAUCUCCAAUCAAAGGAGAAUGAUGCCCGUAGUGUGUUUAGUAUUUGGUCUGGGAUCCCUAUUCCUAGGGCUUGAGUCUUGGCCACAUUGAGCUUAUAGUAGGAAUGGGUCCCAUAGUCUGUGACUACUGCCAGGAGAUUUGGGAGGGAAAUCUGUGGCUGCGUAAGAGCGAGCAGGAUAUCAUCUGCGGACAGGUUUGCUUUGUAUCCUUUUGGCCAACAGUGGUUCCAUGUACAGAGGUAUGACCAGGGGUUGUAACGCCAAGACGUAGAGCAAGAGGGAAAGUGGGCACCCCUGCCUCGUCCCGUUUGUGAUCAAAAAGGGGUCAGACAGGAACCCUGCGUUGAGCACAUGAGCAGUAGGAUGGCUAUAGAGGGCCCUCACCGCCGACAGGAAUCUUUCAGGUAUUACAAAUAUGAGCAAUAUUGCCUCUAGAAAACUCCAAUGUAGGCGGUCUAAGGCCUUUUCCGUGUCUAAUGAUAUCAGUAACCCACCCUUCCGUGUCGUCUUAUAGCCAUGCAUUAUGUUCAGUACUUUUCUCGUAUUUUCCGAUCCCUGUCUGCCCGCCACGAAUCUCACUUGGUCGUUGUGAAUAAUGUUGGGGAGGAUGUUGCUUAAUCGGGUAGCAUGCAAUUUUGCGAAGAUUUUGGCGUCCGUGUUCAAUAGUGAUAUAGGUCUGAAAUUCUGGGGGAGUGUGGGCGAUUUGCCUUGUUUGGGCAGUGUAACAAUGUGCGCCAAUAGCACGUCUUUGGAUAGGGAUUUGUGGGCAAUUGCGUCUUGGAAUGUGUGUACUAGGUGUGGAGCUAAUGUGCUGCUAAAUUUUUUAUAGCUUGUCCAGACCAUCAGGUCCAGGCGAUUUGCCCAGAGGCAGGGUAAGUUCGGUCUAUUGUGUAGGGGUCAAUUCUGGCAGGUGAAGGCCCUCCACGUAUUUAUUAAUGUCUGAACUUUGGGGUUGGUGUACUUGCCCAUCAUGUUUAAGAUUAUAUAAGUCGGCAUAGUACCGCGCAAACUCGUUGCUAAUAUCCUGUGGCGUGUAGGCCUUAGUGCCGGUUUUUGUCAUUAGGUAUGCAAUUUUCUGGGAUGCUUGGCGUGAUUUCAAUCUGUUUGCGAGCAUUUUGCUUGCUUUAUUACCUUGUGCGUAGUAGGUAGCUUUCAGGCGUUUAAGCUGAAACCCUGUUGAUUGUAAGGCCUGCUGAUGCAUGUUUCUGUUUAGGGCUAGUAUGCGGUCUCUUGGAGAGGCCAAAGGUGACAUUUGGUUUUGCACAUUUAAGGCGUACAGCUCUGUCUGCCACCUCUGCAAUUGGGCUUGGGAGGUUUUACGCAAUGUGGCUGCUCGUUGUAUGAGCAACCAAUUUGUGCGCCUGCCAUAUCGUGGUUGGGGACAUACCAGGAGUGGAGUUCUCUGCAAAGUAAUGUUUGAAGGCCGUUUCUACUUGGCCUGUGAAGGCCGGAUUUUGUAGGAGUGAGUCGUUGAUUCUCCAAGGGCUGCGGUUUUUUGAAAUCACAUAGGUCUUUAACUUCGAGGGUGACAGGGGCAUGGUCUGACCAUGUGAUGUGGUCGAUAUCGCACCUAACAAGUUAGUUUAGAUUCGAUCCCUUCAAAAGGAUCUAGUAUCUAGCCUAGAAUAGGAAUUGUGAAUGGGCGAGUAAAACGUGUAAGACCUUUCCGUCCGCAGGAGAUUCUCCAGGCAUCAUAAUAGUGGUACGUGGAAAAUAGUGUCUGUAACGCUCUGCUUUGGCGUUUGAGGGGCCUGAACCUGUCCCGGAGACGCAAAAGUGUGGUGUCUAAUGUUGGGUCUAGGACAUGGUUUAGGUCCCCACAUAUUAUUGUUAUCCCUUGUUGCAGUUUUGUCAGUGUCUGUAAAAUCUUGUGAAGGAAAUUCCUUUGAUUUGAGCUGGGGGCAUAAAUGUUUGCAAUGGUGUAUGUGAUGUCGUUUAUAAUCCCCACAACUACAGCGUAUUUCCCAUUUGUGUCUAACUUUUGCGUGAGGAUGUGGAAUGUAACCUUCUUACUGAUGAGUAUAGAUGCGCCCUUGGAUUUGGAUGGGGAGGUGGCGUGAAACUGAGUGGGGUAGUCGUUAGUCAGCAUAGGGGUGUAAUCCUUUGUUCUAUAGUGGGUUUCCUGUAAGCACACCACAUCUGGGCUGGUUGCUCGAAGCUCCUGACCCAACAAGUGUCGUUUCACAGGAACGUUCAGUCCCUUGACAUUGUGGGUAUAAAACUUCAUGGUGGGUCAUAUAUGAGCGAUCACAGUUUAUUAGAAUAAUCACUAUGUGUGUUUGGGGUCACCACUUCUCCCAGCUCCAUCGAGCAAAGCGUAUUCAGGUUUAAUUGCCGUGUUGGCACUUUGAGGAAAAGAAAGUUGCGGUUUGGGCACAUGGGCACUUGGGCUCAAAAAGGUUUGCCAUCACUGUCAUAGGGGUACAAACAGUUUGGGACACAGCUCUUCCUCAGCCACUUGUAUCUGAAUUUAUCUUUUGUACUCACUGUGUUGCAUUCGUACUGCUAGGGUAAAUAUUGUGUUAAUUCUUUGGUAACAGUGAGUGAAUACUCAUUACCUUUUAGAUACUGCUGUCACAAUCACUCAUUUUUCUAUGCAUGGUUGAAUUCAGGUCAUGUUUUAGUAUGGUUACAACUGGUAGUACAGGUGCAUAACUGCAUAAUGGUAUGUGCUGUUUUCUCUUUAUAUUUAUGUUUAGAUGACAAAAGCUGGAUCCUUGUUUUUUUACCUUGUUCCUAAAUAUGUUUUUUUAAUCCUUUAUUCCAUAAAUAGUGAUUGUAAAAGAAAAAAAAAAAAUCUUAAGUUCUAUUUCUUAUGUUUAUCUUAAAGGUACAAAAAUGGAUAUGACAGUCCCUUUUUCAAUAUUUGUUCCAGCAAGAGAAAAAACAAAAAAACAGCCCCUUGCAUUAUUUUUCCUUCCAUCAGAAUUUGAAUCUCCUGAACCAUUAGACUCCAGUAUUUAUGUUUACGGUUAUCCUGCCUUAACAUGGUAUAUUCGGUAAGUGACUGUCUUCACAUGGUACUUAGUACAAUUUAAUACCACUUUGUAACUUACAUAAUCAGUGUAUCCUCCAUUAGUUAUUUUUCUUCAACUUUAAAUGGUCUCAUCUUUAACUAAAUGGCUAUUACUGAUUUCCAGGUCUUUUGAUGGUCAUUCCACUCUCAAAGACUGUUUUAAUCAGGCAAAGGUUUUAGCAGAAGAGUUGGUACACCUGAAGAAACCAUUUGAUUAUACAUUCUUUGCGUGCAAUUUCUAUGAUGGUCCAUACCAAGUGAACAAUCGUCAUAACGAAGCGGCAUUCAUGCUCAAGCAUUUAGAGAAAUCUGACUGAUUUAAUACUAUAUUUAGAUGCCAAAAUGUUUAAGGAACUCUGAUGUGGUAAAUGAUUUUCUGAUGUGCACCUUUCAAAAGAUAACAUCACUUUUCUGAAAAUUAUGCAAUUGAAUAAAACUUUGAAAAUCAUCUGUACAUUGUUUUCAUUCUAACAUUGUGUUAGAAAACUAUUCCAAACAUUUGGAUCUACAAAAAGUGUGACUCAGAUUGUCUUACUGAGGGGAUGUCAAUGGCUUAUUGAAUACAUACAUGAGCCAGCGCUCAGCCUCUCUCCCUGAAAAUAAAGUAACAAUUCCCUUCAUAAAGGAGAGAGGAAGUUAUCCCAUCAAUUAUCUUUAAAUAAACUGUAAAUCACAAGAAAUAAUGAACACUGUGUGGCGAAAUUACUCUAAUAGGCUAGACUGAUAUCCCUGAUAGUUUACUAGCCCUUUCUUUCCUCUUAAACCUUCUCUACAAAAGUCUUUAAUUAAAAAGAGUGCCAUAAAUCUCCCUAAAGUGAAUGGUGGGACACCUGACACACUCGCUAACCUGAAGACCAAAUCUCUAUAAUAUAUACACCAAUAUACACCAGCUUUAAUGGUGAACUAUAAAAUUACUAUUGUAUAGUUUAGGGAUAGGCAACCUUCGGCACUCCAGAUGUUGUGGACUACAUCCCCCAUAAUGCUCUUACAUCCAUAAUGCUGGUAAAGCAUCAUGGGAGGUGUAUUCCAAAACAUCUGGAAUGCCGAAGGUUGCCUAUGCCUGGAAUAGUUCAUUAUGUUGUAUCAAUACUGGAAGGCAAAGAGUAAAAAAAGGAUAUUCAAUUAAAAUGUGAUUAUGGUUAAAUCAUGUAUUUAAAAGAUUGUCAGUCAGCCAAAAUAACCGCUAGGAUACAAUAUUAGUUCCAAAAUUUGCCAAGAUGUCCUACUCACAAGUCAGAGGUAAAGAGUAUUUAUUUCCAAAUUAUCUAUAUCUCACUUUCUCGUAAGACAAAUUUUUAUAAAGAAAGAAAGAAGGAAAGAAAAAAGUAUUUAAGCAGCUCUGUCACUUAUUUCCUCUUUGCUCCAGCCUCUGUUAUGGUAUCCUAAGCCCCCCAAAGUCAUCUAAUGCCCUGCUACUGUAACCACUUCCAUUUCUUAAUAUGCUGUCACUCGGGCUUCAUCCGUGGUGCCAUCAUCAUGCAAAUUCCUCUAUGUACCUCACCUCCAUUCGAGGGCAUGCAUGUCAUAUCACAUGCAUGCACAGUUCACCAAUCUUGAGGGGAUAUAUUACCUUUACCAUUGCAAGAGUCACCGCUUGGGUACCAGGUUUUCACCUGGCUGCUGCCAAAUGGGAU